This is a long non-coding RNA of Dromiciops gliroides (monito del monte), 703 nucleotides long. RefSeq lists it as uncharacterized. The transcript has 3 exons. The record is from RefSeq and is a predicted model, not a curated record. Lineage: Eukaryota; Metazoa; Chordata; Mammalia; Microbiotheria; Microbiotheriidae.
ACUAACUAUAAUUUUAGGAGUAGUCAACCACAGAUUACUCCUUAGGACCCAAGAUAACAGCUGUCCUCUAGAGAUCCAAACUAUCUAUCAAACUCUGAAAAUAAAUAACCAAAGAGCUCACAGAGGUAAUAGGCAAAAAGCCUAUUUCAUUGGAGAAGGAAAACUAGACAAGCCUGCCGGGGUCUGCCGUAGUACUGGAGGAGACCUACAAAAGUGAGGCUGAGGCUUGAUAUAUAUGGUAGUGACCAGACAAAGAAACAAGCAGUGAGCUGUAGCCACGGCAACAUAGGCUGUACUCCUGAAUCUCCUGGAUUUUCUCUACAAUGCCACAGAAGCUCACUCCAGCACUGGACUUCACACAUUCAAAGUAGCCUUGAUCCACUACACCUUGGAUUAGCUGGUUCCUUCAAGAACCUCCAUUUUAAGAGGGAUGCCCAGUCUACCCAUGUCUUCAUUCUUCUCCAGGUUGUGCUCCUGACUUCUCCCACCCCUCCUUCCAGAUUCCUUUUAUGUUGUAUUUUGUGCGUUGUUCUUUCUUAUUUAUUUUGUAGUUAGAUUUAUCUAGUUCUGAGAGGGAAAGGUUAAGAUCCCCCAUUAGUAUUGUUUUGCUAUCUAUUUCCUCUUAUAACUCAUUUGACUUCUCCUCUAAGAAUCUGGAUGCUAUAACACUUGGUGCAUAUGUUUAGUAUUGAUAUUACUUCAU